UUGACCUCGAAUCAGGUAGGACUACCCGCUGAACUUAAGCAUAUCAAUAACGCGGGAGGAAGAUCAUUACGGAGUUAUCCAACUCCACCCCUGUGAAAUUAUACCCUUUUAAUUUGUUUGUUUUCCGGGAAUUUCCCCGCGGACC
This 145-nucleotide ribosomal RNA is filed under the name Metarhizium anisopliae. RNAcentral describes it as "partial 28S ribosomal RNA". Lineage: Eukaryota; Fungi; Ascomycota; Sordariomycetes; Hypocreales; Clavicipitaceae. The record is from RNAcentral.